UUGGCACCGAACAUAAUUUAUUGCGAUCGUUACGCAUAAUAUGUAUUAUAGUCACUUUUUCUCGAUAGCCGACAAACCUGAAACGAAUCAAAGGUUAAAGAAAGAAUCAGUGCGUUAUUAUAACAGAGUACCUACUACCGAUGUAAAGACAUAUUAUAUAAUACAUAUACCUACAUGUGCACGGUGAUGUAUGCAAAUUACUAAUUAUAUUAAUCCGAACGUAUCCAUCGUGUCUCCGUGAUUAUUAGUAUAUUAUACGCGUGUGCUCGUGCGCGUGUAAUUUAUUCGGAUGUUAAUAUCGCAGUCAGUACACAGCUGCAGUGGUCGCGCGUCUUGACGUUUAACCCACCACAUGAGAGGGUUGCUCGAACGUGGUGGUGUAUAUCGGUUGGUAACCGCUACCUGGGUCUAAAACUUCGUAUACAGUGUAUUAUAGAGAAAACGAGAGAAAGAGAUAGCAGUGACGGAGAGGUAGAGCUGCGCUGGUGCAUUACCUUGUAAGGUUUCGUUCUGUGUGGAUGGUUACCAAAAGGAAGUACCCAAGGAUUUCCACGGAUGACUGGCCGGCGCGCUGUUCGCCGUGCACGAGGAAGGCGAACGAAUAAACUUUUCCUAAUUUGGUAUAUUCGUAAAGGUUCAUGGUUCUUAUACGUUCUACAAUCGUUUACGACCAGACACUGUGGGCGAUCCAAGAAAACGUUUGUAUUCCGCGAUGGAAUUAUACGCAUUCGACCGUGGAACCAAAAUCUCGACGUACGUGAUAAGUCGGUUUAGUACUGUUUAUAAAUAUAAUAUAACAUUGUUGUCACGAUGCGACAAAACGCUUUCAAAACUCAAUUCGAAAACAAAUACGGAAUAACGCCGUUUCACUAUAUAAUUUAUCAUAACUGAUAAGUCUGAUGUUGUGUUUUCACAGCGGGUUUCUAUCGAAAAUUAAAAUUCCGUGAUGUUGAACCGCCCAUCGCCGGUCGUCGCAGCUGCUGCCAAGAGGUGUCUUUUCCAGGACGAUCAUCGACAACUCGCAGCCCGCAACGACGAUAACGCGGCUUUGGAAGUGGCUAUGACAAUUGAACGGGAGCUGCUGGCACGAAAACGAGACCAAUGGAAUUUCGAUUUCGUCAACGGCACACCGGUGGAGGAAGAGCUUAUUUGUAAUAAUAAUUGGCAAUGGGAUAUCAUUGUUACAUAAACGUCGAUAACGACGACGAAGAACGUCAGCCACAAGUUUGAUGAUAAAUUUACUAUUGUUAAAUAUAAUAUGAAUAUAAAAUUCUACGUUCAAA
Molecule: long non-coding RNA, 1283 nt
Organism: Rhopalosiphum padi (bird cherry-oat aphid)
Lineage: Eukaryota; Metazoa; Arthropoda; Insecta; Hemiptera; Aphididae
Exons: 2
Source: RefSeq, a predicted model, not a curated record